RNAcentral lists this ribosomal RNA (425 nucleotides) under uncultured bacterium. RNAcentral describes it as "partial 16S ribosomal RNA". It matches the Rfam family "Bacterial small subunit ribosomal RNA", at positions 354 to 796 of the family's 1533-position model. The record is from RNAcentral.
GUGGGGAAUCUUGCGCAAUGGGCGAAAGCCUGACGCAGCCAUGCCGCGUGAAUGAUGAAGGUCUUAGGAUUGUAAAAUUCUUUCACCGGGGACGAUAAUGACGGUACCCGGAGAAGAAGCCCCGGCUAACUUCGUGCCAGCAGCCGCGGUAAUACGGAGGGUGCGAGCGUUGUCCGGAUUUAUUGGGUUUAAAGGGUGCGUAGGCUGGAAGGUCAGUCAGCGGUGAAAAGCUGUCGCUUAACGAUAGUCUUGCCGCAGAUACUUCCUUUCUUGGAUGAGGAGGAGGCCACUGGAACGGAUGGUGUAGCGGUGAAAUGCAUAGAUAUCAUCCAGAACACCGAUUGCGAAGGCAGGUGGCUGUACCUUAAUCGACGCUGAUGCACGAAAGCAUGGGGAGCAAACAGGAUUAGAAACCCUAGUAGUCC